GAUGAACGCUGGCGGCGUGCCUAACACAUGCAAGUCGAGCGGCAGCGAGGGGUGCUUGCACCCUGUCGGCGAGCGGCGGACGGCUGAGUAACGCGUGGGAACGUGCCCCAAAGUGAGGAAUAACUACCCGAAAGGGUAGCUAAUACCGCAUAUUAUCUUCGGAUCAAAGGAUUUAUCCGCUUUGGGAGCGGCUCGCGUCGGAUUAGGUAGUUGGUGAGGUAAUGGCUCACCAAGCCGACGAUCCGUAGCUGGUCUGAGAGGAUGACCAGCCAGACUGGAACUGAGACACGGUCCAGACUCCUACGGGAGGCAGCAGUGAGGAAUCUUCCACAAUGGGCGAAAGCCUGAUGGAGCAACGCCGCGUGCAGGACGAAGGCCUUCGGGUUGUAAACUGCUUUUAUAAGUGAGGAAUAUGACGGUAACUUAUGAAUAAGGAUCGGCUAACUACGUG
Molecule: ribosomal RNA, 451 nt
Filed under: uncultured bacterium
Lineage: Bacteria
Description: partial 16S ribosomal RNA
Rfam family: Bacterial small subunit ribosomal RNA
Source: RNAcentral